GAUGGACGCUGGCGGCGUGCCUAAUACAUGCAAGUCGAGCGAACAGAUAAGGAGCUUGCUCCUUUGACGUUAGCGGCGGACGGGUGAGUAACACGUGGGUAACCUACCUAUAAGACUGGGAUAACUUCGGGAAACCGGAGCUAAUACCGGAUAAUAUUUCGAACCGCAUGGUUCGAUAGUGAAAGAUGGUUUUGCUAUCACUUAUAGAUGGACCCGCGCCGUAUUAGCUAGUUGGUAAGGUAACGGCUUACCAAGGCGACGAUACGUAGCCGACCUGAGAGGGUGAUCGGCCACACUGGAACUGAGACACGGUCCAGACUCCUACGGGAGGCAGCAGUAGGGAAUCUUCCGCAAUGGGCGAAAGCCUGACGGAGCAACGCCGCGUGAGUGAUGAAGGUCUUCGGAUCGUAAAACUCUGUUAUUAGGGAAGAACAUACGUGUAAGUAACUGUGUACGUCUUGACGGUACCUAAUCAGAAAGCCACGGCUAACUACGUG
Molecule: ribosomal RNA, 497 nt
Filed under: uncultured bacterium
Lineage: Bacteria
Description: partial 16S ribosomal RNA
Rfam family: Bacterial small subunit ribosomal RNA
Source: RNAcentral